Hysterangium stoloniferum is the source of this 94-nucleotide non-coding RNA. Lineage: Eukaryota; Fungi; Basidiomycota; Agaricomycetes; Hysterangiales; Hysterangiaceae. The record is from the annotation of a GenBank genome assembly.
GCUUUGUUAGCUCAAUGGUAGAGUGUCAGAUUCUUACAGUCCCACUGACCGGGUGGGAUUCUGGGGGUUGCAGGUUCAAUUCCUGUGCGAGGCA